CUCCUUGAGAGUCCUGAAGGAACGUUGAAGACGACGACGUUGAUAGGUCGGGUGUGUAAGCGUAGCGAUACGUUGAGCUAACCGAUACUAAUGAACCGUGAGGCUUAACCUUACAACGCCAAAGC
RNAcentral lists this ribosomal RNA (125 nucleotides) under Corallococcus coralloides. Its description in RNAcentral is "partial 23S ribosomal RNA". The stretch from base 1 to 112 matches the Rfam family "Bacterial large subunit ribosomal RNA", at positions 2811 to 2925 of the family's 2925-position model. The record is from RNAcentral. Lineage: Bacteria; Pseudomonadati; Myxococcota; Myxococcia; Myxococcales; Myxococcaceae.